This 253-nucleotide ribosomal RNA is filed under the name uncultured bacterium. Its description in RNAcentral is "partial 16S ribosomal RNA". It matches the Rfam family "Bacterial small subunit ribosomal RNA", at positions 524 to 776 of the family's 1533-position model. The record is from RNAcentral.
UACAGUGGGUGCAAACGUUGCUCGGAAUCAUUGGGCGUAAAGCGCACGUAGGCGGUUCGUUAUGUCGGAUGUGAAAGCCCUUGGCUUAACCGAGGAAGUGCAUCCGAAACUGGCGAGCUAGAGUACGAAAGAGGAUCGCGGAAUUCCCGGUGUAGAGGUGAAAUUCGUAGAUAUCGGGAGGAACACCGGUGGCGAAGGCGGCGAUCUGGGUCGAUACUGACGCUGAGGUGCGAAAGCGUGGGGAGCAAACAGG